ACAUGCAGUCGAACGGUGAAGCCAAGCUUGCUUGGUGGAUCAGUGGCGAACGGGUGAGUAACACGUGAGCAACCUGCCCUGGACUCUGGGAUAAGCGCUGGAAACGGCGUCUAAUACUGGAUAUGAGCUCCUUCCGCAUGGUGGGGGUUGGAAAGAUUUUUCGGUCUGGGAUGGGCUCGCGGCCUAUCAGCUUGUUGGUGAGGUAAUGGCUCACCAAGGCGUCGACGGGUAGCCGGCCUGAGAGGGUGACCGGCCACACUGGGACUGAGACACGGCCCAGACUCCUACGGGAGGCAGCAGUGGGGAAUAUUGCACAAUGGGCGGAAGCCUGAUGCAGCAACGCCGCGUGAGGGAUGACGGCCUUCGGGUUGNUAAACCUCUUUUAGCAGGGAAGAAGCGAAAGUGACNGGUACCUGCAGAAAAAGCGCCGGCUAACUACGUGCCAGCAGCCGCGGUAAUACGUAGGGCGCAAGCGUUAUCCGGAAUUAUUGGGCGUAAAGAGCUCGUAGGCGGUUUGUCGCGUCUGCUGUGAAAUCCCGAGGCUCAACCUCGGGCCUGCAGUGGGUACGGGCAGACUAGAGUGCGGUAGGGGAGAUUGGAAUUCCUGGUGUAGCGGUGGAAUGCGCAGAUAUCAGGAGGAACACCGAUGGCGAAGGCAGAUCUCUGGGCCGUAACUGACGCUGAGGAGCGAAAGGGUGGGGAGCAAACAGGCUUAGAUACCCUGGUAGUCCACCCCGUAAACGUUGGGAACUAGUUGUGGGGACCAUUCCACGGUUUCCGUGACGCAGCUAACGCAUUAAGUUCCCCGCCUGGGGAGUACGGCCGCAAGGCUAAAACUCAAAGGAAUUGACGGGGACCCGCACAAGCGGCGGAGCAUGCGGAUUAAUUCGAUGCAACGCGAAGAANCCUUACCNAAGGCUUGACAUAUACGAGAACGGGCCAGAAAUGGUCAACUCUUUGGNACACUCGUAAACAGGUGGUGCAUGGUUGUCGUCAGCUCGUGUCGUGAGAUGUUGGGUUAAGUCCCGCAACGAGCGCAACCCUCGUUCUAUGUUGCCAGCACGUAAUGGUGGGAACUCAUGGGAUACUGCCGGGGUCAACUCGGAGGAAGGUGGGGAUGACGUCAAAUCAUCAUGCCCCUUAUGUCUUGGGCUUCACGCAUGCUACAAUGGCCGGUACAAAGGGCUGCAAUACCGUAAGGUGGAGCGAAUCCCAAAAAGCCGGUCCCAGUUCGGAUUGAGGUCUGCAACUCGACCUCAUGAAGUCGGAGUCGCUAGUAAUCGCAGAUCAGCAACGCUGCGGUGAAUACGUUCCCGGGUCUUGUACACACCGCCCGUCAAGUCAUGAAAGUCGGUAACACCUGAAGCCNNNGCCCAACCCUUGNGGAGGGAGCCGUCGA
RNAcentral lists this ribosomal RNA (1399 nucleotides) under Microbacterium sp. RNAcentral describes it as "bacterial SSU rRNA". It matches the Rfam family "Bacterial small subunit ribosomal RNA". The record is from RNAcentral. Lineage: Bacteria; Bacillati; Actinomycetota; Actinomycetes; Micrococcales; Microbacteriaceae.